This is a long non-coding RNA of Chinchilla lanigera (long-tailed chinchilla), 1189 nucleotides long. RefSeq lists it as uncharacterized. The transcript has 3 exons. The record is from RefSeq and is a predicted model, not a curated record. Lineage: Eukaryota; Metazoa; Chordata; Mammalia; Rodentia; Chinchillidae.
UCCCGCCCCUUGCGUCUCGCGGGCAAUGACGUCCGCCGAGGCGCAGGGUGCGCCGCGCGGCGUGAUGGCGUCAGCGAGCGCGCGCUGGCGUUCUGCGAGGCUGUUGGGAUCCGCGCCCGGCCGAAGCCCGCGGCGUGGCCGUGCACGUGCGCCCUGCGCUUCCGCUGAAGACGCAAAGGAGCUGCGGGAGCCGCGGCCCGCGGGAAAGGCGGGGCGGGCGUCCGGGGCUACGGGAAGGGCGGCGCCCGCGCACCUUCCUCUGCGUCCCUGCGGGCCGGGGCUUCUGCGCAAUAAAGUCCGCAGUGGAAGGGUUAAAAACGAGUUGUGAGCACGUUUGGGAUUGGGCAGGUCUGAGAGGAGCACCUCGUCAGACACAUCCAAUCCAUCAUCUCUUCAAAAAAUGCAAAGUGGACUACGAAUGUAGCUCAUGGUAAAGGCCCUGGGUUAAUCGCCAGUGCUGAGAAGAAAAGGAAAAACCAGAAAGGCAGAGAUACCGGAGAGGCUGCACACAGUGACUGUUGCUACAAGACUCACACCUAUACCUGCAACAGGUGUUUCAGGAUGCUCCCUGCGCCCAGGCCCACGGCAGACGCAAACCCCUGUGCGUGAGAAAUGGCCUUCUUCACCAUCCCAUCGAGCCUGGCAUCUGGCACACCACGCAGUGAAGCACUGGUUGAAUGGGUGGGUGUGUGGGUGGGCGAGUGGAUGGUUUUCACACAUUUGGGAGUAGAAAUGUUCUCAUGGCAUAGCUGCUGCUUCAGGGAUUGAACUCCGUAGACAAGCAAAUCCUUGCUGGGAGCUUCCCUGGAUACGGCCUUCAAGAGGAAGCUGCCUGCUGGGCGGCAGCCAUAGCAUGGAACAAGGAUUAGCUCAGAAAGCGAGUUGCAAUAACUGGUCACUGCUUCAAGGAAAAACCAGACCCCAGUUAAACAGUGCCCCCAAACAUCACUAAUGGAAUUAAGAAUUCAGAUGUAGAAAAGGAUGCCAAAGAACCGGUACGAAUUUUGUUUAAUGUAGGUGAAUAUUCACUUUGUCUUGUAGGGGGGAAAGUUAGGGCUAAGUUCUUCAGAUGGAUUCCACAAAAUAAAUCAUUGAUUGAGGUAAAAUAGCAUUGUUAAAAACUAUAAAUUACACAGAGCGUGCUGGCACAUGCCUGCAAUCCCAGCAUUCAGAGGCUGAGGAAGGAGGA